CACAUUUGGGGGGAAAAAUCAUACAGACAAACUGACAGGUCUGAAACCUUCAAAACAUAUAUGGAAGAACCCCUUCUACCUCUUUCUGGGUACCUCUGCAACAACUGUGUUGCCAAGUUUAAUCGUUAAUAAGUGAAGUAGAAGAAG
Molecule: long non-coding RNA, 147 nt
Organism: Haliotis rubra (blacklip abalone)
Lineage: Eukaryota; Metazoa; Mollusca; Gastropoda; Lepetellida; Haliotidae
Exons: 3
Source: RefSeq, a predicted model, not a curated record